UGAAACUAACAGAUGCUGGCCUCUUGUAUGC
This 31-nucleotide non-coding RNA is filed under the name Rattus norvegicus (Norway rat). Lineage: Eukaryota; Metazoa; Chordata; Mammalia; Rodentia; Muridae. The record is from RNAcentral.